ACUCCUACGGGAGGCAGCAGUGGGGAAUCUUGGACAAUGGGGGCAACCCUGAUCCAGCCAUGCCGCGUGAGUGAUGAAGGCCUUAGGGUCGUAAAAGCUCUUUCGCCUGUGAAGAUAAUGACGGUAGCAGGUAAAGAAACCCCCGGCUAACUCCGUGCCAGCAGCCGCGGUAAAUACGGGAGGGGGGUUAGCGUUGUUCGGAAUUACUGGGGCGUAAAGCGCACGUAGGCGGACCAGAAAGUUGGGGGUGAAAAUCCCCGGGGGCUCAACCCCGGAACUGCCUCCAAAACUAUUGGUCUAGAGUUCGAGAGAGGUGAGUGGAAUUCCAAGUGUAGAGGUGAAAUUUACGUAGAUAUUUGGAGGAACACCAGUGGCGAAGGCGGCUCACUGGCUCGAUACUGACGCUGAGGUGC
Molecule: ribosomal RNA, 413 nt
Filed under: uncultured bacterium
Lineage: Bacteria
Description: bacterial SSU rRNA
Rfam family: Bacterial small subunit ribosomal RNA
Source: RNAcentral